CUGCGUGUAAAUAUAUAUUUGCACAAUCAUCAACAUUGGUGUUAUUAUACAAAAAAAAAAUAUAAAAAAAUAUGUAUUAUAUGUAAAAGGCCAUCUGUUCCUUAUUUUU
RNAcentral lists this non-coding RNA (109 nucleotides) under Heterosigma akashiwo. The record is from RNAcentral. Lineage: Eukaryota; Raphidophyceae; Chattonellales; Chattonellaceae.